AAAUAAAUCCUUUUUCUAUAUUUUUAGUAGAUUGGACAAAGACGGUGUGCCUUUUCUGGGGGUCCCAAAUUGAAGAUUUGCAUAUCCCUCAAAGAACAUAACAUUACAGACGGUUAUCCAGUCAUUGUCACUUCCAACAGGAAUAGCUGUUGAUUCAAUCAAUGAACAUAUCUACUGGACUGAUGCUCGUACACACAGACUCUCAAGAUGCAAUCUAGACGGAAGCAAUAUGACAGUGUUGUUAACUCUUAGUUCUCCUUGGGUGUUAAGAUUUGAUGUUAAAAACAGGUGGAUGUAUAUAGUUGAACGGCAGUUUGGAAUAUCAAAGUCUAGAAUUGAUUUAUCCGAAAAACAGACGAUCGUUAACUUUGCACCACUAUAUGUUUCUUGUAUGGAUAUAGACACUGAUGAACAAAUAGUGUAUUGGAUUAAUCACAGUGGUGAAAUGAAGUCAGCUAAUGUUGAUGGUUCUGAUGUUACAACAAUCAUUUCAAUUAAUCGUUCUGGAUCUAUUUACUAUGCUAUAGGCGUUUUUGGUGGCUAUAUUUACUAUGCAAAAGACAGUCAGUUGUUAAUACUGGAUAAAACACAAGGAUCAACGCCGACUGUUCUGCAUAAUGAUAUCAGCAGAAUUAACAGUUUAUUUUUAUUUAAGCAAUCAGGUAUGUAAAUAAUCGGUCAACAAUAGGUAUUAUCAUAGACCAACUGGGUUACACCUCAGUAUAAAAGCAUACUUAGUUUUUGUACAAACAAUUUUAAAAAGACAUUAGCUACGAGAUAUAAAAAAAUUAGAAUAUGAUUGUUUUGUUCAAUCAUGAAGGAAAGUGAAAUAGUUAAAUAAUAAUUCACUUUAAGCAGCCAGUUUGGUUCAAUUUUGUCAUAAUAAGCUAAGAAAUAUCGCUAAUGAAUUAUUCACUUGCAAGUCCAUACAGUCCUUGGAUGGUGUAAACUUCCCACUAAAACCAUAACCAUACACCAUUCACCAUACGCUCUUACAGCAUACACCCUGUACCAUUACACCAUACACGUUACACCUGUGCACCAUACACCUUACACAAUACACCAUAAUGCAAUUUAAUUUAAAAAAAAAGCGUGCGACUACAACAUUAUUUAUUUAUUUUAGAAAACGAAUGUUCAUCACAAUAUUGUAAAUUAAUGUAUAAAAUUAAAAAUCAGUUCUUAUCAAUAUUUUGCAUAGUUUUAAAUGUCGUACACCAUUCCUGAUCGCACGUUACACCAUUACACCAUUCCCCUUACACCAUACACCAUAGCACCAUACACCUUCUACCAUUACACCAUAUGCCAUACACCAUUACACCAUACACGUUUUUUUGGGAAGUUUACACCAUCCAAGGGCUGUACUUCGAUCUCAUUGAAUCCGUAUCCAUGUAACCAUAUUUGAUCCUAAGCUAGAGUUGGGUUACGCAUAAGUUAAGCGUCUUCAGUUAUUAAAAGGAAAAGCAUGUCAACAUUGAAAGUGAAACAAGGGUAAGCAAUUUGAUUGACUGAUUCGAUCAACAAAAACUGAUUUUUGUACAGGUAAAAACGUUGAUUAGCAUAUUUUUUUCACCUAUAAUGUAAAACUUACAAGACCUAGCAAAAUCCAAUUGCACGAGUUUGCUAUCUAGUAAUAUAUAUGUUUAUGUCUAUAUCGGGCUAUAUGACCGUCGACACUCUUCGGAGGUUACCUCGAUGGUUAAUUAGAUGGCCUGUAGGCUAAAAUACACACAAACACUGAUACAUAUUAUCAGACACUGGCAUUGUAAAUUGUUUAUUUUAUACUUUUUAUCAUUUAUAUAAAAUUGAGAAUGGAAACGGGGAAUGUGUCAAAGAGACAACAACCCGACCAUAGAGCAGACAACAGCCGAAGGCCACCAGUGGGUCUUCAAUGCAGCGAGAAACUCCCGCACCCAGAGGCGUCCUUCAACUGGCCCCUAAACAAAUAUGUAUACUAGUUCAGUGAUAAAGGAACAUUAGAUAUAUAUGUUUGAGCAUUUUGUAAAUCAAAUAUGAGAAUUUGAGUCAAAUCGAUGCACAUGCAUUUGACAGUUAAUGUCCCUUUAAGAACGUUUAUUAGUCAUACAUUAUCUAUAAUUUGAACACGAAUGCAUUCAUUGUAAGUGGACGUAUUUCGACAGAAAAGGAAAACGUAUACAUUCAUGAGACUGGAUCUAGAAACUAACAAUUUCAAAAUAAACACUAUUAAAAUAUUAUCAGUUUAUUAUUUUAAAGCCUUUCAGAAUAACUGUGACUGAUAAUGAUUUACACCUAAUUAUUUACACUUUAGUAGUAUAUGGAUGAAAAUGAUACAUGUAUAGCCGUUAACACCGUGAUUCGUAUAUUUUGUGACCAACAUGUACAUAAAUCAGCGUAAAUUCGGUUUACCUUCUGAUUAAAUUAAAAUAUGAAUACCACUUCGCAAACUCAUCCUACAAUGCCUUUAAAAUCUUCAAACACGUGUAGUAAAGCAUAACUUAUUUUUGUGCUAUAAGAACACAUGAAUUAAAUAGGAUACAGUCUCUGAAAGCAAUCAAACAUUAGAUAUGACAUAGACACUGGUUUUAGAUAAUUAACCCGUUUUCAAUCAGUUGUAAAAACUUAAACAACAAUACUUUGAGUAAUAAUUGAAAUCAAUGUUCUUUUUUUAAUUGUGUAUUCACAUAUUUAACAAAUAUUGAUGCAACAUUGUCUGACAUGUGUUUUUAAAAUGAUUUCUAAUUGCUUGAUGCUUUUUUUUAUAUAAUCAGCUUUUACUCAUAUGUAAAUACAUGUAGCUAGUUAUUCUAACCAACUGUAAUUGCAUAUGUUCAUCCCAGUGUUGCCUUAAUGUGUUGCAUACAUACUAUUAAUGUUAUGUAUUUAUUCUUUAAGGUUCAUGUUAUAUAAUAUUGGUUUCACAAAUAACACGUUUUAACAGUGGUUUUUUUUUAUCUAAAUAAAGUAAAUUUGUUUUAGCUGAAUAUAUGUUUGUUUACAUUUAUUCACUUUUUAUUCAUUAUCAUGAUUAUAAUGUAUGUUGACUUUUUAUAUAAUACUUUUAAAAUACAGUGUAAUACAUGUUAUUGUUGUUAACGUGACAACAAUUAAUAAAAAGUAAUUUCAGUGUUCACGACUGAAUUGUUAUUUAUAAAGUUGUACAACACAAACACGAGGUAUGUAAAUGAUCUUUUCAAUGAAAUAUACUUCUUAUGCCUAUAAGUAUCAAAACAAAACGAUGCGGUAUGAUUGCCACUUUGAGAUAACUCCCCACUAGAGACCACAUAACGUAAAGUCUUUUUUAUUGAAUAUCAUUAUGUUUUAAAAUCAAUGGUAAUCAUCAAAUCUUACUGUUCACAUAUUUUUUUUAAUGAUUUAUACUUACUUUCUACAAACCAUUAAACUUCUUGUCGAAGUCAUAGAAGACGUAAACAAAAAUAUAUAAAACAAACUCUGAUAGAUAUAUAAAUUCUUUUCUUUUCAUUUUAAUAGAUGUCACCUAAUAUGAUACAGCACCAUAAAUAGAGGACUGAAUUCAGGAUGAAAUGUAUAAAUCUUAGAGGCAGCAAAUGGAAAUGGGUAAACUGUUGAUGAUUAACUGACCGAAUAAGUUGUUGGUAAAGUUUUGAUGCCGAUAUCUAUCUACUGAAACACGCUCAGAAUGUUUCCAAACUUUAAAUGUGAACAUGGUGAAGCUGACUAGUCAAAGUACUGCAAACAAGUGUUUUCUGACUCCCUAAAGUUAAACAAUGUCAACGAAAGGCUUUCACGUAUUUGAGUCGAAAUCAAGAGUGAACUAAUGAUGUAUGCAUUAUACAAUCAACUAAAGUAUGGAUACUUUACACCCCCAUUAUCUUAAGAUUAAUCAGCCCGGUAGUUUACUCGCAUGAUCUAAACUAGGAAAAGAACGAAUAGACCGGAUGAUAUGUCGCCCAUGAUAAAAAAAAACAAUCGAUAGGAUGUUGUCAAUGAAACAACAACUCCGAAAGAAAUUGGUAGCCCUGUUGGUAUUUAAAAAGAUGUCAUGCAAACGAACAUUUUUCAGUCUACGGAUUGCUCUAUGUGCUACAAAAACUAGACAAGUUUAUUUAUAAUCGGUCUUUGUACUGUUUAACUUUUAGGUCAAUUUCAACUAGACAUGUGUUAUGCAUUUAAUCUGUCCAUACUAUGCAAUUAAUUUUGCAGGAAUGUUUAUAUUUAGAAUAGCAAACGGAGGGGCUAUUAUUUCACUUAAAUGAUAAAUGAAAUAAUCUAUUAAUUUCCCGAUGAUCCCGGAUAUCUAUAUUUGAUAUAGCGAAAGAGAAAGCUGGAGUUGUCAAUGAAGUAGUAAAUAGAUUUAUUAAAAUAUGUUCCAUUGAACUAAUAGUGUUGCUUAGAACAAAGUUAUACAAUUAGUUAAUCAAAUUUCUUGUCUUUUUUUAUUUAAUCUUUACACACAAUUCAGCUGAUACAUUUUAAUUUUGAAAAAAAAAACAACAUUUGAACACGGAGAUAAAGUAUGUUAUCACACAUGUAGACGUUUACAAUAGCACAUGUUUAUCUUAAUCUUUAUAAAUCAAAUUAUAUCUGCAAUUUGUAUCAUCAAGAUGCAUUAUGUAAGGUAAUCUAAAAUUAUGAACAUUUCGAAAUCAUCAACUGACAUUGCUGCAACAAGUAAUUUUUACUAUAAAUUUUCACUUCUUCGUACUAUGACCAUCAAAAUUAUUUAUUUUGUAAAAAUAUUUCCUUUCUCCGUUUGAACUAUACACGUAUACCUAACAACAGAAUUAUUUGCAUGUACAUGUGUUUAUAGUAAUUGAAAAUGGCUGAUAUUUUUGUUCAAACAUAUUGUUUUUCUUAUAUUAUUUAACAUUUCACAGCGGUAUAACAUGUUACUUUAAUUAUUAUUCCCUUUGUUUAUUUAUUUUGUAUUUUCAUUGUACCAUAGAUCAAAUUUAUUUGUUCAGUGUAUGUUCACUGGUGUUAA
Molecule: long non-coding RNA, 4942 nt
Organism: Mytilus californianus (California mussel)
Lineage: Eukaryota; Metazoa; Mollusca; Bivalvia; Mytilida; Mytilidae
Exons: 6
Source: RefSeq, a predicted model, not a curated record